AGUCACAAAAUUGACGUUUCCGAUGAAGGUAACAGAAUUUCGCGGUUAGAAGUACAACUUGAUUGUAUUUGAUAGUGAUUAUCUAGCUAACGCGCUGAUUUGUUUUUCACAAAUGCAUUCAAACCAAAAAAUAUCGUUGAAAGAUUUUUGAUGAUAGUUGUAGUUGUAGGUUUGAUGGUUUUAAAAAAGGCAUUUUUAUGAGCUUACACUAAAUAGCAUUCACUGGUCUUGUCAGCUCAAUUUUGGAAUUGUUUUUCUUGUAGUCUAAGGACAACCACUUCUAGGAUGGAAGAGAUUAGUUUAUAUAUACUCACUUGGAAUGUGUCAGUCAAUGAUCCACCCGAUGAAGAAACCCUGAAAUGUUCGUUAGGGUUGGACUCGUUCGAACUUCCUGAUCUCUUCAUUAUAGGUUUGCAAGAGGUGAGCUCCAAUCCUGUGGACAUGGUUGCUAAUACCAUUCAUGAAGAUCCUUGGACACAAGCCUAUAUGGAUCUUCUGAUGAAAUAUGGUUUCGUAAAAGUGAGAACGAAAAAGCUGGUUGGAAUUUCGCUAAAUGUAUUCUCUUUGAGGAAACACGUGCCAAAACUUCGACACAUCAAGGAAGAUCAUUUUAAAACUGGGGUCGGUGGGUAUUGGGGAAACAAAGGUGCAGUCGGAAUUAAAAUGGAAAUUGGAGGAUACUCGUUUGUGUUUCUAAACGCUCAUCAGGCCGCCCAUGAGGGCACCUACUAUUUUGAGAAACGAUUAUCCGAGUACAAAUCGAUUACUGAACGAUUGGAUUAUUUAUUAGAUAAGAGUGCUAAAAGUGUGACGUUCUGGUUCGGAGACCUGAACUAUCGGUUCAUCGUGGAGCAUACAAACGAAAAGGCCCUCUCGGAGGCGGGGCGUGACUCGGCUGUGAGCAACGGAGUGGACAGUGUGGCGCUCAGUCAGAAGGAUCGGUUCAAAAUGGUGGUCAACCACAUAGCUAAACGAAACUUUGCGGGGUUGCUGCAAAUCGACGAGCUGCACAAAGCCUAUGCCAGCGGCAAGGCCUACGAAGGUUUCAUCGAGAAGCAACCAAAUUUCGCGCCCACUUUCAAGUAUGCGAAGAACUGUGAUGUUUACGACGAAAAACGAAUUCCGGCUUGGACUGAUCGAAUAUUGUACAAAACGCAAGGAAUUCCGUACUGUGACCCGGAAGCCAUGAGCAACAAAACUAGUCAAUGUAUUUGCCAGACGGAGUACGAUAGCAUCACAAGUAUAGCUUUAGGAGAUCACCGACCUGUUUUCAGUCGGUUCAAUGUUAGGCUCAAAGACACAUCGAAUUGUGAAUUGAGCGUAGCGUUUGAUGAGAUAGAAGAUUGGACGUUAGGCAUUUCUAAUACUGUUACCUGCUCAAUGAUCACUAAUGGAAGUGAUCACAACCUGAGAAUCUUGGGCAACGACUGGAUAGGCAUUUUCAAGGAAGACGUGUUCUCAUGUCUGAACAACUACGUGACGUACGCGUACGUGAACGACUCUAUAGUGGAGGAGCGGAUCGUGGAACGCGGUAAGAAGCGGAUCGAUCUGAAGUUCCUGGACUCGCUGAUCUGUUCGCCCGGUCGUUACAUCAUGAUCUACUUCCGCAGCAGCAUCGUCCUGCACGACAACUUCCGGAUAGAACGCGUUAAGGAUGUUCUGGGAGUCAGCGAUCCGUUUGUGGUCAGGAACUCCCGCGAUCAGAUGCAGGGCGGCUGUACGUUUUAUGUAUUGGGGCUGAGUCGAAUUCCGAACUAGAGGCUGCGUGACUUGAUGAUGAGAGUAUUUUAGAUUCGAUCCUGGAGGCUUCCAGGGCGGUAGCUUUGGUGAAAGAUGUAUCCGUUGAUUGUAGAAGCUGCUCUUGAAUCCAGUCAUCUUUCAGGCCUCUGAUAAAUUCUGCACGGAGGAAUGUAUCUGCGAUUGAUAGAGAUUCAUUACAGGUACAUAGCACGUUAAAGUCAAAGUCGACAAUAUCCCGUUGAAGAGACGCAACAUACUCAGGUAUAUUUUGAUAUUCCUUUCACUAAAGCUGGGGUUUUGUUUGUGCGUAAAUGCCGUCGUCGACCACGACAGGGUGAGGAUCUCAGUUUGGGUGGAUUUUUAUUUGUCUAGAUAACCUAAAAGAUUAUGUUCAUUUAUGUUUUAAUGUGGGAGGUUGAGUUUAUACAUUUUUAUUCUUUCAAACGGCAAUAAGAUGAUAUUAUUAUAAAUGUUUUCAUUAUUGAAUAAUAAACACAAAUUAUGAAAAGUUUUUUGAUCAGCUAUUUAGCACACUUAAAAUUUGGACAGUCUGAAUGUCAACAAUGCUUGUCGUCGUCGACUGCGGGAGUUUACGCACAAACGAAAAUGCACCUUUAGUGUUGAGGAAGUAGUGUUGUGAAACUAUCGUGCUUUUUUCAGAUACGAGCAUUUGUGUGAAUGCUUUGAUCAGAUCUUGGUAAGCUAGACUGUUUAUUGGUUUUUAUGAACCUAGUAUUGCUGACAAAUUGUUGUAGUGAACACAACCAAUAGAUCAACGUCAUCUGUUAUACGGGUCUUUCUAAAUGAUGGACCCAUUUUCAAAAAAUGGUAUUUAUUAAAGUAAAAAUGCAAAAUGGAUAACCUUUAAACCUAUCGAAAGAGAAAGUUUCAAAGUUUUUUUUAAUACCUUACAAGUGUUGAAUGUGGCCUCCGGCUGCUGCACGGCAAACAUCUACGCGGUAGCCAAACUCGUCCCACACGCGAGAAAGCGAGGGUCUUUCUAAAUGAUGGACCCAUUUUCAAAAAUUGGUAUUUAUUAAAGUAAAAAUGCAAAAUGGACAACCUUUAUACCAAUCGAAAGAGAAUGUUUCAAAGUUUUUUUUAAUACCUAACAAGUGUUCAAUAUGGUCUCCGGCUGCUGCACGAUCUGCGGAACCGUAUCACUGCUGCCGUGCACUCAAUAACACCAGAUACGCUUUCUCGCGUGUGGGACGAGUUUGGCUACCGCGUAGAUGUUUGCCGUGCAGCAGCCGGAGGCCACAUUCAACACUUGUAAGAUAUAACAAAAAAAUUUGAAUUUUUCUCGUUCCAUUGGUAUAAAGGUUGUCCAUUUUGCAUUUUUACUUUAAUAAAUACCAAUUUUUGAAAAUGGGUCCAUCAUUUAGAAAGACUCAGUAUUUUCCAUUGAAAAUAGUUCUAAAUAAUUUAUAAACUUUUCGUUGUCUGAAUUGAAGUUCUCAAAAGGAUUAAGACUAGACUUUCCUGAUUUGGUUGAGGCUGUAUAUUCUAGAUGCGUGUUGUGAGAGUUGACAGAAACUGGCUGAGUUGAGCUUGAUCCAUGGUUGAAGGCCUUGAAUUUGGUAGGGGUCACUUGAAGAAAACUUUCACUGCAUUGAAGAAUUGUCUUUGAAAAAAGAGUAAUAUCCAUAAAAAGUCUUUGAAUCAACUUUUACCUCGUCUUAGAUUCUUAGAUUGGCAUUGGUAAUGUUGAGUGUCUCAAUUUGUAUUGUACUUAUAACUUCUAUAUGUAAGGGUAUCUUGGUAUUAGAUCUUUUAUGAUAAUAUGAAUCUCUGUUAUGUGUUUUUGAUUAUUAUUGUUGGUUGUUAUUUUUAUUUUUAUAAAUACUUGUUACAAAAUGUUUAGUUUAGUAGAUUGUAUACAUAUCAGUUGUUUAUUUUUUAUGUGUAAAGGUCAACUGAUGAUUUGUAUUUAUUCUAGGAGAAUCUAGAGGUUGAUAUUCUAGAGUUAGACAGUUAAGGAUGUUGGAAUUCUCCAUUUCUAUGAUUCGUUAUUACUGCAUGCAUCUAUACUUGUGUACUAUGGACCUGGGUUUGCAUAUCUAUUUCUAACCUACCUCACGUCAGAAUGAUAACUUUUUACAACCACAGUUAUGGAGGAAACCGCAAAAACUAGUUCAUUGUAGCAUUCUUCUUUUCAAGCCCAAAAAGAUGAUAAAUUAUAUUAGUUAUAGGUAGUACA
This 3940-nucleotide unclassified non-coding RNA is filed under the name Nilaparvata lugens (brown planthopper). RNAcentral's name for it is "inositol polyphosphate 5-phosphatase K, transcript variant X1". Lineage: Eukaryota; Metazoa; Arthropoda; Insecta; Hemiptera; Delphacidae. The record is from RNAcentral.